Molecule: non-coding RNA, 784 nt
Organism: Cyanistes caeruleus (blue tit)
Lineage: Eukaryota; Metazoa; Chordata; Aves; Passeriformes; Paridae
Source: RefSeq, a predicted model, not a curated record
GAUGGCCAUGUCACAGGAAUUAUCAGGAGAUUCCCAGACCUGGAGGUCACUUUUGAACCUUACUCUUGCAAGGAAUUGAUUCAGUGCAGUAGACUUCUACCAAAGGUGACAAUCCAUUGCUGAGCCUGCACCCACAGUUUCAGGACUGACCAAACCCAGGGGAAAGGAUGCUUUUGGGGGACAAUAUGAUCAUGUCACCAAGACUGGCAGACAGGCCUGGAGGAUGCCUUGCACAGAUACUGUGGACCACAUGCCCUGGCAGAACUACACUCAGCAAGCCCACAUAAAUUCUGUCUGGAGCUGUAAAAGUAAAAAGACACCAGUUCCUUCCAUCCUGUUGAAUUCAGGCAAGGUUCAACACCUUCAUCCAGGUUUGAAUCAGCACAUCAUCUCAUACAUGGAAUCACAGAAUAUCCUGAUUUGGAAGGUGCCCACAAGGAUCAUCAAGCUCAAAUCCUGGCCCUACACAGGACAUUCCUAAGAAUCACACCAUCUGUCACCAUGUACAUCAUCAACCCCUGCACUGAAAGGACUUUUGAACCUCAGAUAAGAUGCUUCCAAAAGCCAGGUGCAGCCAGGCCUCUGUGGCGCUUUGCACUGCGCAGAAGUGAGCUCUCCUCCAGGGACACUCAAUCCAAGGCAGACAAAGAAAACAUGGAGAAAAACAAGCACCUGGCAGAGAAGUGCCAAGCCACAGGCAACAGGAUAUGGGAAUGUCUCCUCUCUGCCCUGCUCACUGCACUGUGACACUUUUCAAAUAAUGAACCUCCUGUACCUGGCGAGA